This 402-nucleotide ribosomal RNA is filed under the name uncultured bacterium. RNAcentral describes it as "bacterial SSU rRNA". It matches the Rfam family "Bacterial small subunit ribosomal RNA", at positions 355 to 774 of the family's 1533-position model. RNAcentral also lists the same sequence under 1 other name. The record is from RNAcentral.
UGGGGAAUAUUGCACAAUGGGGGAAACCCUGAUGCAGCGACGCCGCGUGGAGGAAGAAGGUCUUCGGAUUGUAAACUCCUGUUGUUGAGGAAGAUAAUGACGGUACUCAACAAGGAAGUGACGGCUAACUACGUGCCAGCAGCCGCGGUAAAACGUAGGUCACAAGCGUUGUCCGGAAUUACUGGGUGUAAAGGGAGCGCAGGCGGGAGAACAAGUUGGAAGUGAAAUCCAUGGGCUCAACCCAUGAACUGCUUUCAAAACUGUUUUUCUUGAGUAGUGCAGAGGUAGGCGGAAUUCCCGGUGUAGCGGUGGAAUGCGUAGAUAUCGGGAGGAACACCAGUGGCGAAGGCGGCCUACUGGGCACCAACUGACGCUGAGGCUCGAAAGUGUGGGUAGCAAACA